GGGGCUAUAGCUCAGCUGGUAGAGUACUUGCAUGGCAUGUAAGUGGUCAGCGGUUCAAAUCCGCUUAGCUCCA
This 73-nucleotide transfer RNA is filed under the name Pantoea sp. Aalb. It matches the Rfam family "tRNA". Rfam says of the family: Transfer RNA (tRNA) molecules are approximately 80 nucleotides in length. The record is from Rfam by way of RNAcentral. Lineage: Bacteria; Pseudomonadati; Pseudomonadota; Gammaproteobacteria; Enterobacterales; Erwiniaceae.